UACGUAGGGGGCAAGCGUUGUCCGGAUUUAUUGGGCGUAAAGAGCGUGUAGGCGGCUUUACAGGUCCGCUGUGAAAACUCGAGGCUCAACCUCGAGCUGUCGGUGGAAACCGUUAGGCUAGAGUCCGGAAGAGGAGAGUGGAAUUCCCGGUGUAGCGGUGAAAUGCGCAGAUAUCGGGAAGAACACCCGUGGCGAAGGCAGCUCUCUGGGACGGUACUGACGCUGAGACGCGAAAGCGUGGGGAGCGAACAGG
Molecule: ribosomal RNA, 253 nt
Filed under: uncultured bacterium
Lineage: Bacteria
Description: partial 16S ribosomal RNA
Rfam family: Bacterial small subunit ribosomal RNA
Source: RNAcentral